Molecule: small RNA, 75 nt
Filed under: Arabidopsis thaliana (thale cress)
Lineage: Eukaryota; Viridiplantae; Streptophyta; Magnoliopsida; Brassicales; Brassicaceae
Description: ATSL157480
Source: RNAcentral
UCAAAACCUCUAGGAAGUAUGUUGUUGGAUAUAGUAUGAUGUUGGACAAAGUAGGAUGUUGGAUAAAGUUUAUAG